GCCGCAAGAAAUUAUAUGAACUUCAUGAAUCAUUUUAGUAUAAUUGGAACAUGCAUGCUUUAAUGAUUUACGAACUUCUAAUAGUUGAAUAAAAUGGCUAACAGUAAGCAAUGGUAUAAUUUAACUGAACAUGGAGAUAUCUCACACGUGUAAUGAUACGUAACAUAUAGAUACAACUCUAACCUAGUUCCAUGAGUCGACUACAAAUGUCAAGGACCUCAGAAACACAGUUACAUCCCAAGCUUCAAGAUGAUCGUCGAUAAUAAUACACAUAGAUCUUUAUGCUAUAAAUAGAAGCAUAUUUUCGUAGAAGACGUUCCACUGUGUACCACUGUGAUCGAUCUGAUUCAUCUUGAUACCCAAUUCGAGGCAUGUGAAUUGAAGCUUCAUGGAAAGAUCCAAUGGAGAUACAUUAGUUUAAUGGAAUCAAAUGGAGAUAUAAUUUUAGAUAUGCAAACCGAGGCAAAAUAAUUCUCAGUUGACAGCACUCGGUGGCUGUGGCUGUCACUGAACAUCAGCAAUGUGAGAAUUCUGUAUCAUGUUCAAUAUAAUAGAAUGAUAAUUAGAGAAGAAUUUAUUAAAUAACAUGCAAAAUACUUGAUGUUCAAGGUUAAUCCAAACAUCUGUAGAAAACAUAUGCCAAUGAAAAACCAAACUAAGACCGCUUAUCUUGUUGCUUAAUACUUGCUGCUAAGCUUCAUCCUACUGCUUGUCCAAGACUUCAGUACUUCAGUAACUUAUAACCAGCUAGAUAAACUUUCAUGUUUUAGUUUGCUGGAUUAAGUAGACAAUUACAGCCAAUGCAAGAAAUUUGCUUCCACCUUGAAGUGUUGCAUAAAAGAAAAAAGCAGUGACACUAACCACCUACAGUUGUAUCUUUGCUAUUGGGAUGGACAAUCAGUAAGACAUCAAAAUCCAACUAAAUGAAACUUGUGGGAACUUAUACCAGAAUUCUGAGCCGCAGCAAAUGAAACCUUAUUUAGGCAACGCUCCAAGUCAAGAAUUGAGAUAUUGCUGCGGGGCACUUUACGCCUAGGAUUAUAUGAUUGCACAACAGCCAAAGCCACCCACUGAGGAGAAUCAUCUUCCAAGCAGUGUCUGUCAGUGUCCCCAUUAAUUCUUAUGAGAUGGAGAUCACCAAGAUGAAGGUCCCCAAAUUCAGAUGCCCGUUGAUAUGCAUCAGGGAUACUUGAAGACAGCUUGGCCAGUGCAUCAAACAUUCCUCCAUGGCCCCAAUUUCCAGAGUUAUCUACACAACUGAAUAUUAUAGUGGGCUCAGAUGGGCAAACUUUUGCUGGAUCUGUACAAUCUCCGACAACAAAAUGAAGAGAACCUGAAUCUGACAAUACAUCACCAUCCAAAGCUGGGCCAGGAUCUUUAACAGACAAUGAAUGGUAUCCAAGGGAUUCCCACUUAGACAACUUUUUCUCCUCAGCUUUCUUCCUUGCAGCCUCAAGUUUAAGAUGCUUAUCCUCGGGCAAGUUCCUUCUAUGUCCCAAAUCCAAGACUGGGUUGCCACUUGAUUGUGAUGCUUCCUCAAAUUUUCUAACCCAUGAUUGAUACGAGGCCUCAUCAAGACCGUGAUCAUAAUCAGCAAAAGCAGAAUUUCCCCCAAUGACAGCAUCAAUUUGAUCAAUUCGAUUAACCACAUAUUUCCUAUCUAUCUCUCCUAAUCUCUGAUCAUCACGCAUUGCAAUUACUUUCGCUGUCAUAGCAUUCAAUUCUGGCAUGUUCAGUUCAUCUGACUUUCCAGUACUGAUCUCAGAAGGAUCAAACAUAUGUAACCCAAAUAUGAUAGAUUUCAAAUCCAUGGUUUCAACUCCUGCUGUUUCUUUUCCUUUCUGUUGCACAAUAUCAUCUCCUACAACAUUAUGACUAAGCUGCAAUUUCCUCUCUGCUCUCCGCAUAACAACCUCUUCUACAGUACACAUUGUAACCAAGUUUAUGGACAAUACAUGAUUUAUUUGACCAAUCCGGUGAGCCCGCUGCAAAGCCUGCUUGUCAACCUGGGGAUUCCAAUCUUGCUCGUAGAAUAUAACCGUAUCAGCAGCCACAAGAUUUAAGCCAACUCCCCCAGCUCUUGUAGAUAUCAUAAAAACAAAGGCAGUAUUCUUGUCAAAUUCAGAAUUCAACUUCCCUAAUUGCCCACUAAAACUUCUUAUGGCAGCAAAACGUUCCUCAGCCCGAACUGAACCAUCAAGACGCUCAUAGGAAUACUUCCGUAACUCCAAAAAAUCCUGUAAAAUGUCAAGUGUAUGAGUCAUCUGAGCAAAGAGAAGGACACGAUGUCCAGAAUCAUGAAGCUUUUGAAGCAGCUGAUCCAAAAUUAAAAGCUUUCCACUAGCCUGAACUAGGUGUUCACCCUCUUCAAAAGGCUCAGGCUCAAUACCAGGAAAUAGGUAAGGAUGGCUACAUGCUUUUCGUAGUUGUAUUACAAUAUUCUGAAGAGAUUGAUUAUUAGAAGCUGCAGAUGACAAUGCCAGUAGUUUUGGAAGUUCCUUUCUCAAUAUUGAUGCGUAAACCCUCUUUUGCAGGCUGACAAGUGGAGCCAUCACGGUAAUCUCGGUAAGGGGUGGCAGCACAAGGUUUCCACACUCUAUAAGCUUAGAUUUUGUUCUUCGAAGCAUGAAGGCUGUCAUUAUGCAUUUUAAAUUCUUCAACUGCCUCUUGACCUCAGCUGCAUCAAGAUCUGAUGUAGGAUCUCCAGCUUCUUUGAAUGUGGAAAGGAACUGCUCAUGUGUCCCAAACACUGAAGGCAUGCAAAAAUGCAUCAAAGCCCAGAGUUCAGUGAGAUUAUUCUGUAUAGGAGUGCCAGUCAUCAAUAGGCGUCUUGGCAUGAGGAAGCACUCUUUGAGAAUGUUAUAUAGCACACUGGAAGGAUUUUUAAGUCUCUGAGCUUCAUCGAUUAUUGCAUAAUGCCAAGGAAUUUGAGAAAGAAAAUCUUGAUCCAUCAAUGCUACAUCAUAGGUUGUCAAGAGCACAUCAAAAGGCAACAAGGAACCAUCAGUUGAUGAGGGAUGCUCCUUUACAUGUUCAUACAAUGUCUUGCGUAGACUACGCCGGUGUUCUUUGUCACCUACAUACCUGAGGACCUUUAGUUUUGGAGUGAAUUUGGCCAUCUCUGAAACCCAACCAUCUGUAACACUUAGAGGACACAAUACCAAAAAUGGUCCAGGUGACAUCUGAUGAAUUUUCAAGUAACUUAAAAAGGAGAUAGCUUGCAGUGUUUUCCCCAAUCCCAUCUCAUCUCCGAGAAUAACAUUGACGCCGAGAAGAUAUCGCCGUAUAAGCCAUGAGACACCUUCCACUUGAUAAGGUUUCAGCGUCGCUGUAACUCCAAUUUCUGUAGCGUUUAUGGGGGCGUCGUGGGCGCGUGCGUCGGCGUCGACUAUAAGAGUAGCUGCUGCCAUUAGGCGCUGCUCGUAAUUCAUAUUUUUUCUGUACGGUUGAUCGGUUGUUGGCGGUUUGGAAAUUGAAGAGCAGUUGGGAGGGAACGCGAG
Molecule: unclassified non-coding RNA, 3500 nt
Filed under: Hevea brasiliensis (rubber tree)
Lineage: Eukaryota; Viridiplantae; Streptophyta; Magnoliopsida; Malpighiales; Euphorbiaceae
Source: RNAcentral